Molecule: long non-coding RNA, 3025 nt
Organism: Oxyura jamaicensis (ruddy duck)
Lineage: Eukaryota; Metazoa; Chordata; Aves; Anseriformes; Anatidae
Exons: 2
Source: RefSeq, a predicted model, not a curated record
CAGCCACCUUCCUGAACACAUGGGGAGUGGGAGCGCAUUAUCCCACGAUGAGCCAUCCCUACCUUCUGAGUGUUUCAAAGGCAGACAACUGGGGAAAAUUGGAACCAGCUUGGAUUUUGGCCUUGCUGCAAACGGAUUUCAAGGCUGCUCAUACAACCCACAGGCCCCCAGAAGCUGUCCUCGAGGCCCUUUGGCACGUACCUGGGGGUCCACAUCCCUCCCUGAGCAGUCCAGUAAGUGGGUGCCAGCCAGGCACCCCACUCAGCACCCUGGGGGUGUGGGGACCCCGGGAAACAGCCCCCAGCAAAAAGCAAUGCUACAUGCUUUUCAACAGGGAAUUGAAGGGACUAUUCCUCCCCCAUUUGGGGGUCACUUGGUUGCCACCAGCUUUGUUCCCAGACACAAGCACCCCCAUUUUGCUGGUGCCAAAGCCUGGCAGCGAGAAUAACCUUUAAAGGAGUCUAUAGGGGUAAAGGUGCCCAGAUGCUUUCCCUGUCCUCUGUCCACCAAGUGAAGUGCCCAGUGCUUAUCCAUCCCUCCUGCUCCCCAAAUCCCCCCAAAACAUUAUUUAAGGCUUAUUUUCCUCCCCUCCUCAACAACACGGGUCCCAGUGCGCCAGAGGAGGACAGCCGGUGACAAAGGAGGGCCCUGGCCGCACUUGGGCCACUUUCUUCCAAGUCUGGCUUGCUAAAUCCAGGGGGAGGCAGGGACCUGCGGGGCUGGAGUUGAGGAGGGAUGCGUUUUGAGCCGGGGUGGGCAAUGAGAUGCCGCUGCCUCCUGCGCGUCCCCGCUGCCCCCCGGUGCGGUGACUCAGCGGUUACGGAGAGCUGGGGGGGCGGGGGGGGAGCGCAUGGGGGGGGGGGGGUCCCCUUCCUCCCCUCUUUUCUCUCCUGAUGAAAAACGAUGCAAUUACGUUUCUGCAUGCUGAUCGGGAGAGUUCAAAUAACAAGCCUUAAACACGUUAUCAGGCGCUUGUUAAGGGGAAGGACGGAGGGAGGGCGGGUAAAGAUAAGGGGGGGGCGAACCCAGCCGCGCGGUGCGUGGCCGUGCCCGGUGGUUCGUGCCCCUCCGGUGGGCGCACAGCGUGUGCACGUCUACAUGUCUGAAUGUAUAUGCUCCAGGGAAAGCCUGCUAGAGGAGGAGGUCGGCUCUUCGGCCUGACCACCUCCCCCCCCCCCCGCCCCCGCACCCAGAAAAUGGUCCCACUUUAAAGCCAGCCCGACCCCCAGCACACCAGCAAAUCGCUGCCGGGAAAAGUUAUUUCCACCCCCGUCCCACUCCCUUUCCUUUUCCCCCUGCGGCCCCGGGGGGCAUCGACCCCCAUUUGGCAUCUCCCUCGCCCCACCAGGUCCCCGCCUCUGCCCCCCAACCCGGCCGCCCCCAGCCCUCGCAAAGGCUCGGGGAGCCGGACCGGGGCUGGAUGCGGAGGGGGAGGAGGGAAGAAAGGCGAGGACAUGAUGAAUAAUGUUAACUUUUGACUGUAGGAGUCAUGAUAGAGUUGAGCGAAGCUGCGGGGAAAUAUGUCAUUUAAUCCCGGGGCUACUGAAGUCCCUUUUAUCAAGCAUCGUGAUGCUGGAAUUACCCUGCUGUAAAAGCCGCUGAGUGCUUAAAAGUAUCCAGCACCGGGGAAAAAAAAAAAAAAAAAAAAGUAUAGAUGGGGAGGAACUGGUGUAAAAUGAUCGCACGGACAAACUAACCGCACGACCGUGAAAACCCCAAGCGGAUUAAAUAAAUAUAAAUACAUGUGCAUUAAAAAAAAAAAAAAAAAAAAAAUGCACGGUAAAACUGUAGCUGCUGCAUUCACGCAAGGAGAACAGACAGCAUGUGCAUGUUUGUGUGCAAUGCCAAAAAGAGCAGCCUUAAGGUUGACCUGCUGCAAUCUGCACUGAGCUCCUCAGACAAUAGACAAGUUCAAAUGUCAAAAAAUCUAAUAAUAAAAAACAGAGCUGCCAAACUGCACGAACUGUUUUCUGGUGUAGCACAAUUAUUCACCCUCUUAUCCACUAAGAGACUGCCAGUCCUUAUGCGCAUAAAAGAAAAUGUAUGUAAUGCAUAUGGAUCUUUCUUUCUUUCUUUUUUUCUUUCUUUCAUUCCUUUUUUUUUUCACGUGUGAAACGCUAUUGAGAUGGCAAGCACGCAAAUCAGAAUGAUAUCAUGUCUAAUAAAAGCGGGACUAAGGUUUUCACAGUCUUUUACAAAGGACUCCAACUUGUAAAUCCCCUUUUUAUGUUGCUACAUGCACGAUUAUUCUUAUAAAUAAAAAUCUACAUGUUCAAGGAGCCGGAUGGUAACUAUACAUCCCUAUGAUUUUAACGUCGGUGGGAGCUUUAGGUUUCUAUCAUAUGUAAUGCGUCUGCGUUGAGCUCAAGUCAACAGAUAGAUUGUUCCAUUCAUUUGGCAACUUUCAUUACAGUGCGUGCGAGGUGAGCCCUAAGCACGACACGUUGGGUAAUAUCGGAAUUAUGCAGCUGGGAGAGAAAGGACCUCAAUUUUAAAACCCAUCCAGUUUUGCAUGUGCGGUCCUGUGUUAUUGUUCUAAUUUAUUACAGAACCAGAAACGCUUUGUUAUGCUCAAAACAAUAAAUAAGGUUGGGAGCGAAGCCUUCAUAAUAAAAGGUAUGGGUAAAUGAGCCGCCUGCAUAUUGUGUUUAUCGUUAUUAUUGUAAGCCUUUAAAAGUAAUAUGUGUAUUUUCCUGUUUUCUCCAGAUUGGUUAGUCUAAUAUCCCUAGUGCAGCUAUCAGCGUGGUCAUAAGAACUCUGAACUACAGCAUGGGUAAGCUUGAAAAACACAGAGCAAAUCACAUUAGCCAAGAAUGCCACAUAGCUGGAACCCAGUCAACUCGGCGUUUUCAGCUGACUGCUGGAUUAUGCACGGCUGUGUUUUACAUAUAGCACGCUGUAUACGGAAUAUGUCUCGAUGUUUAACAUUUUCAUUUGUAAAUGCUAAUGAGGCAGUCGGUCUCCGCCGUUAUAUUAGGAGAUACCUAAGCGUUUCCCACUCUGAGUAAAUGACUACUCAAGACAG